This 464-nucleotide ribosomal RNA is filed under the name uncultured bacterium. RNAcentral describes it as "bacterial SSU rRNA". It matches the Rfam family "Bacterial small subunit ribosomal RNA", at positions 54 to 507 of the family's 1533-position model. The record is from RNAcentral.
CAUGCAAGUCGAACGGCAGCACAGUCGGAGCUUGCUCCGAUGGGUGGCGAGUGGCGGACGGGUGAGGAAUACAUGGGAAUCUGCCCAGUCUGGGGGAUACGUAUGGAAACGCACGCUAAUACCGCAUGCGCCCUUCGGGGGAAAGUCGGGGACCGCAAGGCCUGACGCGAUUGGAUGAGCCCAUGUUCGAUUAGCUAGUUGGCGGGGUAACGGCCCACCAAGGCGACGAUCGAUAGCUGGUCUGAGAGGAUGAUCAGCCACACUGGAACUGAGACACGGUCCAGACUCCUACGGGAGGCAGCAGUAGGGAAUAUUGGACAAUGGGCGCAAGCCUGAUCCAGCCAUGCCGCGUGAGUGAAGAAGGCCCUCGGGUUGUAAAGCUCUUUUGUUGGGGAAGAAAAGCAGUUGGUUAAUACCCGAUUGUUCUGACGGUACCCAAAGAAUAAGCACCGGCUAACUUCGUG